This 58-nucleotide transfer RNA is filed under the name Mesocricetus auratus (golden hamster). It matches the Rfam family "tRNA", at positions 8 to 63 of the family's 71-position model. From Rfam's summary of the family: Transfer RNA (tRNA) molecules are approximately 80 nucleotides in length. Their secondary structure includes four short double-helical elements and three loops (D, anti-codon, and T loops). Further hydrogen bonds mediate the characteristic L-shaped molecular structure. tRNAs have two regions of fundamental functional importance: the anti-codon, which is responsible for specific mRNA codon recognition, and the 3' end, to which the tRNAs corresponding amino acid is attached (by aminoacyl-tRNA synthetases). tRNAs cope with the degeneracy of the genetic code in two manners: having more than one tRNA (with a specific anti-codon) for a particular amino acid; and 'wobble' base-pairing, i.e. permitting non-standard base-pairing at the 3rd anti-codon position. The record is from Rfam by way of RNAcentral. Lineage: Eukaryota; Metazoa; Chordata; Mammalia; Rodentia; Cricetidae.
UGGCUCAGUGGUUAAGAGCACUGGCUGUUCUUCCAGAGGAUCUGGGUUCAAUUCCCAG